AUUGAACGCUGGCGGCAUGCCUUACACAUGCAAGUCGAACGGUAACAGGUCUUCGGAUGCUGACGAGUGGCGAACGGGUGAGUAAUACAUCGGAACGUGCCUAGUAGUUGGGGAUAACUACUCGAAAGAGUGGCUAAUACCGCAUGAGAUCUACGGAUGAAAGCAGGGGAUCGCAAGACCUUGUGCUACUAGAGCGGCCGAUGGCAGAUUAGGUAGUUGGUGGGAUAAAAGCUUACCAAGCCGACGAUCUGUAGCUUGUCUGAGAGGACGAUCAGACACACUGGGACGGAGACACGGCCCAGACUCCUACGGGAGGCAGCAGUGGGGAAUUUUGGACAAUGGGCGAAAGCCUGAUUCAGCAAUGCCGCGUGCAGGAUGAAGGCCUUCGGGUUGUAAACUGCUUUUGUACGGAACGAAAAGCCCCGGGUUAAUACCCUGGGGUCAUGACGGUACCGUAAGAAUAAGCACCGGCUAACUACGUGCCAGCCGCCGCAGUAA
Molecule: ribosomal RNA, 498 nt
Filed under: uncultured bacterium
Lineage: Bacteria
Description: partial 16S ribosomal RNA
Rfam family: Bacterial small subunit ribosomal RNA
Source: RNAcentral